RNAcentral lists this ribosomal RNA (753 nucleotides) under uncultured bacterium. Its description in RNAcentral is "bacterial SSU rRNA". It matches the Rfam family "Bacterial small subunit ribosomal RNA", at positions 577 to 1328 of the family's 1533-position model. The record is from RNAcentral.
GGUUUGUUAAGUCAGAUGUGAAAGCCCCGAGCUUAACUUGGGAACUGCGUUUGAAACUGGCAAGCUAGAGUCUGUCAGAGGGGGGUAGAAUUCCACGUGUAGCAGUGAAAUGCGUAGAGAUGUGGAGGAAUACCAAUGGCGAAGGCAGCCCCCUGGGAUAAGACUGACGCUCAUGCACGAAAGCGUGGGGAGCAAACAGGAUUAGAUACCCUGGUAGUCCACGCCCUAAACGAUGUCAACUGGUUGUUGGGCAACUUGAUUGUUCAGUAACGAAGCUAACGCGAGAAGUUGACCGCCUGUUUUAGUACGGUCGCAAGAUUAAAACUCAAAGGAAUUGACGGGGACCCGCACAAGCGGUGGAUGAUGUGGAUUAAUUCGAUGCAACGCGAAAAACCUUACCUACCCUUGACAUGUACGGAAGUCUGCUGAGAGGUGGAUGUGCCUGAAAGGGAACCGUAACACAGGUGCUGCAUGGCUGUCGUCAGCUCGUGUCGUGAGAUGUUGGGUUAAGUCCCGCAACGAGCGCAACCCUUGCUAUUAAUUGCCAUCAUUAAGUUGGGCACUUUAAUAGGACUGCUGGUGAUAAACCGGAGGAAGGUGGGGAUGACGUCAAGUCCUCAUGGCCCUUAUGGGUAGGGCUUCACCCGUCAUACAAUGGCCGGUACAGAGGGAUGCCAACCCGCGAGGGGGAGCCAAUCUCAGAAAGCCGGUCGUAGUCCGGAUUGUUCUCUGCAACUCGAGAGCAUGAAGUCG